Molecule: ribosomal RNA, 428 nt
Filed under: Gemmatimonadota bacterium
Lineage: Bacteria; Pseudomonadati; Gemmatimonadota
Description: Gemmatimonadetes bacterium partial 16S ribosomal RNA
Rfam family: Bacterial small subunit ribosomal RNA
Source: RNAcentral
UGGGAAUCUUCGGCAAUGGACGAAAGUCUGACCGAGCAACGCCGCGUGAGUGAAGAAGGUUUUCGGAUCGUAAAACUCUGUUGUUAGAGAAGAACAAGGACGUUAGUAACUGAACGUCCCCUGACGGUAUCUAACCAGAAAGCCACGGCUAACUACGUGCCAGCAGCCGCGGUAAUACGUAGGUGGCAAGCGUUGUCCGGAUUUAUUGGGCGUAAAGCGAGCGCAGGCGGUUUCUUAAGUCUGAUGUGAAAGCCCCCGGCUCAACCGGGGAGGGUCAUUGGAAACUGGGAGACUUGAGUGCAGAAGAGGAGAGUGGAAUUCCAUGUGUAGCGGUGAAAUGCGUAGAUAUAUGGAGGAACACCAGUGGCGAAGGCGGCUCUCUGGUCUGUAACUGACGCUGAGGCUCGAAAGCGUGGGGAGCAAACAGG